CAGGCCUAACACAUGCAAGUCGACCGAUGAAGCCCAGCUUGCUGGGUGGAUUAGUGGCGAACGGGUGAGUAACACGUGAGUAACCUGCCCUUAACUCUGGGAUAAGCCUGGGAAACUGGGUCUAAUACCGGAUAGGAGCGCCUACCGCAUGGUGGGUGUUGGAAAGAUUUAUCGGUUUUGGAUGGACUCGCGGCCUAUCAGCUUGUUGGUGAGGUAAUGGCUCACCAAGGCGACGACGGGUAGCCGGCCUGAGAGGGUGACCGGCCACACUGGGACUGAGACACGGCCCAGACUUCCUACGGGAGGCAGCAGUGGGGAAUAUUGCACAAUGGGCGCAAGCCUGAUGCAGCGACGCCGCGUGAGGGAUGACGGCUUCGGGUUGUAAACCUCUUUCAGUAGGUAAGAAGC
RNAcentral lists this ribosomal RNA (408 nucleotides) under Micrococcus sp. Lgg20.4. RNAcentral describes it as "bacterial SSU rRNA". It matches the Rfam family "Bacterial small subunit ribosomal RNA", at positions 43 to 451 of the family's 1533-position model. Lineage: Bacteria; Bacillati; Actinomycetota; Actinomycetes; Micrococcales; Micrococcaceae. The record is from RNAcentral.